RNAcentral lists this ribosomal RNA (403 nucleotides) under Verrucomicrobiota bacterium. Its description in RNAcentral is "Verrucomicrobia bacterium partial 16S ribosomal RNA". It matches the Rfam family "Bacterial small subunit ribosomal RNA", at positions 355 to 776 of the family's 1533-position model. Lineage: Bacteria; Pseudomonadati; Verrucomicrobiota. The record is from RNAcentral.
UGGGGAAUAUUGCACAAUGGGCGCAAGCCUGAUGCAGCAACGCCGCGUGAACGAUGAAGGUCUUCGGAUCGUAAAGUUCUGUUGCAGGGGAAGAUAAUGACGGUACCCUGUGAGGAAGCCCCGGCUAACUACGUGCCAGCAGCCGCGGUAAUACGUAGGGGGCUAGCGUUAUCCGGAUUUACUGGGCGUAAAGGGUGCGUAGGUGGUCCUUCAAGUCGGUGGUUAAAGGCUACGGCUCAACCGUCGUAAGCCGCCGAAACUGGAGGACUUGAGUGCAGGAGAGGAAAGUGGAAUUCCCAGUGUAGCGGUGAAAUGCGUAGAUAUUGGGAGGAACACCAGUAGCGAAGGCGGCUUUCUGCACUGCAACUGACACUGAGGCACGAAAGCGUGGGUAGCAAACAGG